GCUCAGGUAGCUCAGAUGGUAGAGCGUCCGGUUGAAGCCCGGAAGGUCGGCAGCUCGAUACUGCCCCUGAGCACAA
Molecule: transfer RNA, 76 nt
Filed under: Planctomycetota bacterium
Lineage: Bacteria; Pseudomonadati; Planctomycetota
Description: Planctomycetes bacterium tRNA-Phe
Rfam family: tRNA
About the family: Transfer RNA (tRNA) molecules are approximately 80 nucleotides in length.
Source: RNAcentral